GACGAACGCUGGCGGCGUGCUUAACACAUGCAAGUCGAACGGAAAGGCCCUGCUUUUGUGGGGUGCUCGAGUGGCGAACGGGUGAGUAACACGUGAGUAACCUGCCCUUGACUUUGGGAUAACUUCAGGAAACUGGGGCUAAUACCGGAUAGGAGCUCCUGCUGCAUGGUGGGGGUUGGAAAGUUUCGGCGGUUGGGGAUGGACUCGCGGCUUAUCAGCUUGUUGGUGGGGUAGUGGCUUACCAAGGCUUUGACGGGUAGCCGGCCUGUGAGGGUGACCGGCCACAUUGGGACUGAGGUACGGCCCAGACUCCUACGGGAGGCAGCAGUGGGGAAUAUUGCACAAUGGGCGGAAGCCUGAUGCAGCAAGGCCGCGUGCGGGAUGACGGCCUUCGGGUUGUAAACCGCUUUCGCCUGUGACGAAGCGUGAGUGACGGUAAUGGGUAAAGAAGCACCGGCUAACUACGUGC
RNAcentral lists this ribosomal RNA (469 nucleotides) under uncultured bacterium. RNAcentral describes it as "partial 16S ribosomal RNA". It matches the Rfam family "Bacterial small subunit ribosomal RNA", at positions 28 to 508 of the family's 1533-position model. The record is from RNAcentral.